This 404-nucleotide ribosomal RNA is filed under the name uncultured bacterium. RNAcentral's name for it is "bacterial SSU rRNA". It matches the Rfam family "Bacterial small subunit ribosomal RNA", at positions 355 to 776 of the family's 1533-position model. The record is from RNAcentral.
UGGGGAAUCUUGCACAAUGGAGGAAACUCUGAUGCAGCGACGCCGCGUGAGUGAUGAAGCCCUUCGGGGUGUAAAGCUCUUUCGACAGGAACGAUAAUGACGGUACCUGAAGAAGAAGCUGCGGCUAACUACGUGCCAGCAGCCGCGGUAAUACGUAGGCAGCAAGCGUUGUUCGGAAUUACUGGGCGUAAAGAGUGUGUAGGCGGUGCUCUAAGUUUGGUGUGAAAUCUCCCGGCUCAACCGGGAGGCUGCAUCGAAUACUGGAAUGCUAGAGGGUGGGAGAGGUAAGCGGAAUUCCUGGUGUAGCGGUGAAAUGCGUAGAUAUCAGGAGGAACACCUGUGGUGUAGACAGCUUACUGGACCACUUCUGACGCUGAGACACGAAAGCGUGGGUAGCAAACAGG